Molecule: ribosomal RNA, 363 nt
Filed under: uncultured bacterium
Lineage: Bacteria
Description: bacterial SSU rRNA
Rfam family: Bacterial small subunit ribosomal RNA
Source: RNAcentral
AACGAACGCUGGCGGCAGGCCUAACACAUGCAAGUCGAACGCCGUAGCAAUACGGAGUGGCAGACGGGUGAGUAACACGUGGGAACGUACCCUUCGGUUCGGAAUAACUCAGGGAAACUUGAGCUAAUACCGGAUACGUCCGAGAGGAGAAAGAUUUAUCGCCGAGGGAUCGGCCCGCGUCUGAUUAGCUUGUUGGUGAGGUAACGGCUCACCAAGGCGACGAUCAGUAGCUGGUCNGAGAGGAUGAUCAGCCACAUUGGGACUGAGACACGGCCCAAACUCCUACGGGAGGCAGCAGUGGGGAAUAUUGGACAAUGGGCGCAAGCCUGAUCCAGCCAUGCCGCGUGAGUGAUGAAGGCCCUA